AAUUAAAUCACGAAAAUUUCACAAAUAUAAAUUCACACAAAAUAAACACAGUAAAUAAUUUUUAAAAAAUUUUCUGACUAAGAUUCAUGGUCCCGAAACCACCGUUCCGAUCAGGGUCUAAAUCAAGCUGUUACAAAUACCUUCACAAGGGCAAUACUUUUGUUUCUCAAUUGUUUGACUUUCCGAGCCAAAAAUUUAUCCUGUUCCUCACCAUAAGUCAUGCCCG
This 226-nucleotide long non-coding RNA is filed under the name Gossypium barbadense (sea-island cotton). Its description in RNAcentral is "long non-coding RNA (GBAR_LNC005341)". The record is from RNAcentral. Lineage: Eukaryota; Viridiplantae; Streptophyta; Magnoliopsida; Malvales; Malvaceae.